This 826-nucleotide long non-coding RNA is filed under the name Homo sapiens (human). RNAcentral describes it as "HSALNT0251834". The record is from RNAcentral. Lineage: Eukaryota; Metazoa; Chordata; Mammalia; Primates; Hominidae.
CAACAUGGUGAAACUCCGUCUUUACUAAAAAUACAAAAAUUAGCUGGGCUUGGUGGCAGGCAACUGUAAUCCCAGUUACUCGGGAGGCUGAGGCAGGAGAAUUGCUUGAACCUGGGAGGCAGAGGUUGCAGUGAGACAAGUUCGGGCCAUUGUGCUCCAGCCUGGGCAACAAGAGCAAAACUAAAAAUAAAAAAUAAAAAAAGAAUAGUAAUAGUUUUGCUUAAAGGGUGAGGACAGUGACAAAUGGUGAUCCUCAGAUGACUGUAGUUUCUUUACCAUUACAGAAUGCAAUUCAAAUGAAAACCAUUGCAUGGUACUCAGGCAUUUCUUCAAUGCAGUGUGUGCCCACAUCACCAGGAAGCUUACUUGGGAAAGUUUGUUUUGGGAUUCUGGAGUACCUCAAUAUAUCUGGUAUAUUUUCCCAAGAAAAGUGAAUAAUCUUGGGGGGCCGAGGUGGACAGAUUGCUUGAGCCCAGGAGUUUGACACCAGCCUGGGCAAUGUGGUGAAACCCCACCUCUACAAAAAAUACAAAAACUUAGUUGCGUGUUGUGGCACGCACCUGUGGUCCUGGCUGCUGGGGAGGCUGAGGUGGGAGGAUGGCUUGAGCCUGGGAGGUUGAGGCUGCAGUGAGCCAUGAUCAUGCCACUGCACUCCAGCCUGGGUGACAGAGCAAGACACUGUCUCAGAAAACAAAGGCAAACAAACAAAGAUCACCCCAAAGAAGAACUCCCAACAUAUUAAAAGUCAUUGAGUUUUGUACCCUUCAAAUGGAUGAAUUGUGUUGUGUAUGAAUUACAUCUGAAUAAAACUGUUUAAAAAUAUUAA